Molecule: long non-coding RNA, 1156 nt
Filed under: Dermacentor andersoni
Lineage: Eukaryota; Metazoa; Arthropoda; Arachnida; Ixodida; Ixodidae
Description: uncharacterized LOC126527355
Source: RNAcentral
CGGUGGAUGCACGUCUGCGCGGCGUCGCAAUGCGGCCUGCGUCAUUUUCUGGUGUUCGCGCAAUCGGUGUGAAACAUGUCGCAUGUGAAAUGUUUCAUAGAAGUGCCUCACGUCCAAGUCAAGCCGCCGUACGGGUGUACGGCUGUGCGCCCCGUUCUCGGAAGCGUCGACGGGUUUCCGGCAUGCGGAUUUCAGCGUUUGGACUCGACUUUUGGUGAAGAUGUCGAGUGACCUUGGGCCUGGUGACAGCACACCCGACAUCGCCAAAGUGCAGCCUAUCAGUUGAGUGCCUCCGAAUGGACCAUCAACAUCGGAAAAUGAAGCAGAGCCAGGGGGAAAAGGUUCCGGUAACACCAUGCAUUCAGUAUGGUGGCCCAGACGUGUAUGCAAGCAACCUCCUUCAUGUGGACCAAGAACUACUCUGCAGUGCCUCGCAGACUUCCAUGCGAAGCCCUCAACAUUCUUGUCUCAGUGGAAUGGCUGCUCAUCUAUCUGCGUGUCCAUCACCAAGACGGCCAGUUGUAAAGCUGCUGUAUCCGUUUAAGAAAGCUUAAUGAUUUUUUUAUUUAGUUUUCACGGUUGGCCGUAGAAUCUUAACAUUUUUGAUGUUUCUAACAUUUUUACCUGGCACAAAGUGGUGCAAUAACUUUAAACCAGUGCAAUGUAUUUAAGUGAUGCUCACUCUAAUGCCUAUCUGGUUUUGUUUGUGUUUAAGAAAUUUGAAUGUGUGAUGAGGUAACAGCAUUUGAAUUUGUCAUCGUGGCUCGUUUCAAUGAGCUGCUAGGAAAUAAGACGCAAAACUUAUCACACACCAGUUGUAGCAUUUUUGUUUUCAUAACUAAAGUAUACAUGUUUCAAAAGAUGGAAAGUAGGGAAAAAAACCUCAAGAACAUAAUCAUCCUAGGAUUGUCAUGUCCUUACACGUCUGCAAUGACUAAUGUCUUAUACAUCUUGGGAGCACAUUGGUCGCAAUGCCUACAGGUAUACUUGAUAAGAGAAUAGCUUGCACUCAGAUUUGCCACGCAGUGGAUGGCUGAUGGCUUUUGUUUGUCGUCUUCAUGUUACUACUAUGUAUUCAAUAUUCACUUAGAUGUGCUGCGGUUUUUUGCAGUCACCUAUAUAUAUAUAUAUAUAUAUAUAUAUAUAUAUAUAUAUA